Molecule: transfer RNA, 101 nt
Filed under: Aplosporella prunicola CBS 121167
Lineage: Eukaryota; Fungi; Ascomycota; Dothideomycetes; Botryosphaeriales; Aplosporellaceae
Rfam family: tRNA
About the family: Transfer RNA (tRNA) molecules are approximately 80 nucleotides in length. Their secondary structure includes four short double-helical elements and three loops (D, anti-codon, and T loops). Further hydrogen bonds mediate the characteristic L-shaped molecular structure. tRNAs have two regions of fundamental functional importance: the anti-codon, which is responsible for specific mRNA codon recognition, and the 3' end, to which the tRNAs corresponding amino acid is attached (by aminoacyl-tRNA synthetases). tRNAs cope with the degeneracy of the genetic code in two manners: having more than one tRNA (with a specific anti-codon) for a particular amino acid; and 'wobble' base-pairing, i.e. permitting non-standard base-pairing at the 3rd anti-codon position.
Source: Rfam by way of RNAcentral
GGGUUUGUGGUCUAGUGGUAUGAUACUCCCUUAGCACUAUCAUCACACCUUGUGAUCGUCCUGAUUGGGAGUGGUCCCGGGUUCAAUUCCCGGCGAAUCCA